Molecule: ribosomal RNA, 150 nt
Filed under: uncultured bacterium
Lineage: Bacteria
Description: partial 16S ribosomal RNA
Rfam family: Bacterial small subunit ribosomal RNA
Source: RNAcentral
GGGGAAUAUUGCACAAUGGGCGCAAGCCUGAUGCAGCCAUGCCGCGUGUAUGAAGAAGGCCUUCGGGUUGUAAAGUACUUUCAGCGGGGAGGAAGGGAGUAAAGUUAAUACCUUGCUCAUGACGUACUCGCAGAAGAGCCUUUCUGACAC